This 165-nucleotide unclassified non-coding RNA is filed under the name uncultured Eurotiomycetes. RNAcentral describes it as "sequence contains ITS2". Lineage: Eukaryota; Fungi; Ascomycota; Eurotiomycetes. The record is from RNAcentral.
UCACCUCUCAAGCCCGGCUUGCUGUUGGACUCUCGGACCUCUCUCCCGAGAGGUCGGUCCCAAAGAUAAUGACGGUGUCGUCGAGGACCCCAGUACACUGAGCUAUCGUCUAGCACGUACGAGGCGGAAGUCGCGACCCGGUCUAAUCCAUUUUCAUUUUAUCAA